CUUGAGAGGAGACAAGGGGAAAGUCGGAUAUAACUUUAUAGCUUUUAACUAGAGAGAAGAGAGAACUUUAGUGUCUUUGACUUUAGAAAGAGAGAGAAACUGCAGAAUGAAAGUGUAAAGUGAGAAAAAAAAAUUGUGAGAAAGAGAACAGUGCUGAAUGGAUGGAGAAAGAAGUGGAAAGCAAAAAAGAGAAAGUGAAACAGUAAAGAGUACAAAAGAAUUAGGGUGAAAAAAAUGUACAAGUAACUAGCUGAUAUCAGUGCUGGGACCAUUAAUGCAGAAUCUGUGCCUUACACUUCCAAACAAGUAGGGGCUUAUAUAGAGAAAGUGGUUUGCUAAAUGUGCUUUGUCAAGCAAAUUGUACUAAUGGUCAUUGAACCCUAUAUUAAUUCACUGUAGUUGUGAAACUUCAACUAGACAAUUUGGUCUUUGAGCUAAAUUUGUUGCAAUUAGGCUAAUCUCUCAUGAUUUUGGUAAGAAACUUACUAGAAAUCUGGUUUGGCAAUUAAUUUGGGACCCGUUUACUAAAGAAGGAAUGCAAGUAUUUUCAGGAGCCAGAGUUUGUCCUUUGAUUUGUUGUGGGACAGCAGUUUUUUUGGCUUCUUUGUUGGCUUCUGUUUCUGGGGUGUUUAGAGGACUUUCAUUAAGCAUUAUGCAAUUAGAUUGGAGGGCACUGCCUUUUUUGUCUUGCUGGUAUGUGAAUUUGUUAAUGUAGGAGGAUACCAUAUUUUCCAUGUGAUAUUAUCUUUCUUACUAAAAUUUCCUCAUGACUGACAACAAUGAAUUGUUUCCAUUACUAAAUACUUAUGACCGUUCCACAAAUCUCAUUUUCAGGACAUGAGUGUGGGUACAUCAUGGAAUAUACUGAGACCUGAAACAAUUGAGUCGCUCUUUUACCUGUGGCGUUUAACUGGCAACAAGACAUACCAAGAGUGGGGUUGGAAUAUAUUCCAAGCAUUUGAAAAGAACUCACGCAUCGAGACUGGAUAUGUCGGGCUAAAGGAUGUCAAUACCGGUGUCAAAGACGAUAUGAUGCAAAGCUUUUUCCUUGCAGAGACACUGAAAUAUCUGUAUCUUCUCUUCUCACCAUCUUCAGUCAUCUCAUUGGACGAGUGGGUUUUUAACACAGAAGCCCAUCCUCUCAGAAUUGUGACCCGUCAAGACGGAGACACUUCUGGGAAUUCGGAGAAUAAACAAACUAUUAGGACACACAGCAGGAAAGAAGGUCAGUUUACUGAGCAUUAUGUUGACCCCACAAGCUCAAAGGAUCAUAGAUUUUGAUGAUACCAAAAUUCAACUAGAAUCAAACUAACAUUGUUUUAAGUGUUGUGUAUCUCAAAGAAAAAGGACAAAAGGAUUUCAUGAUGGAUUCGUGCUUCUGAAGAAAAGAUGACAUUCUAAGGAUAACACAGGACGAAUCAAAGGAGAUAAAAGAAGAAAAGGUUACCUUCCAAGGCUGCAUUGAAAAAUCAGAUUUGAAGAAAACGACAAAAUAACGGCUAUUUUCUUGAAAUUCGUAUCUGUAACGUUCAAAUGAGUUCUGCAACGGUAAAAAACGUUCCAAAGCUAUAAAUACACCUUCCUUUGGCCAUUUUGCACUCAAUGAAAGUCACUCUACUGUUUAAAAUCAUUAAGCUUUCAUUCGAAGUGCUCAAUGUGUUUUAUUGCUCAUCAUUGGCUUAUUUACUCAACUCUUCUUUAUAGAUUCUGUUGUAUUGAGUGAGAGUGAGUUUUAAACACAUUAUUAUCAUUUAUGAGAGGUCAUUCAAGCACCUAUUGAAGCUUGGUUGUGAAAAGUGUUUGGGAUAACACUUGGUAGAAGUGUGAAGCUACUUGUAAAAGCUUUGGUGAGAAGAUUUGUAAAGGGCUUUUGUCUCUUGCCUUUAAAAGAGAAGAAUAGUGAAGUGAAGACUCAAAGUGGGAUCUUUGAGAGAGUGGAUGUAGGCU
This 1947-nucleotide unclassified non-coding RNA is filed under the name Hevea brasiliensis (rubber tree). Lineage: Eukaryota; Viridiplantae; Streptophyta; Magnoliopsida; Malpighiales; Euphorbiaceae. The record is from RNAcentral.